GACGAACGCUGGCGGCGUGCUUAACACGUGCAAGUCGAACGCUGAAGCUCAGCUUUUGUUGGGUGGAUGAGUGGCGAACGGGUGAGUAACACGUGAGUAACCUGCCCCCUUCUUUGGGAUAACGCCCGGAAACGGGUGCUAAUACUGGAUAUUCACUGGUCUUCGCAUGGGGGUUGGUGGAAAGGGUUUUUCUGGUGGGGGAUGGGCUCGCGGCCUAUCAGCUUGUUGGUGGGGUGAUGGCCUACCAAGGCUUUGACGGGUAGCCGGCCUGAGAGGGUGACCGGUCACAUUGGGACUGAGAUACGGCCCAGACUCCUACGGGAGGCAGCAGUGGGGAAUAUUGCACAAUGGGCGCAAGCCUGAUGCAGCGACGCCGCGUGAGGGAUGGAGGCCUUCGGGUUGUGAACCUCUUUCGCUCAUGGUCAAGCCGCAACAAUGGUUGUGGUGAGGGUAGUGGGUAAAGAAGCGCCGGCUAACUACGUG
This 483-nucleotide ribosomal RNA is filed under the name uncultured bacterium. RNAcentral's name for it is "partial 16S ribosomal RNA". It matches the Rfam family "Bacterial small subunit ribosomal RNA", at positions 28 to 507 of the family's 1533-position model. The record is from RNAcentral.